UUAAAGCUUCUAUAAUAAGUAAAGGAAAUUCCCAGAAUAAAAGAUUUCACAAUAACUUAAAGAUCAAAAUAUGAGAACUAUAAAACAAAUAUUUAUGGGGUACCUUCUCUAUACAAGUCCUACUACAGAGAAUAUAUGAAACAUAAAACAUGAUGGCUGCUCCAUAGGAACCUACAAUACAACUGGGAAAAUAUGUCAUAAACAGAUAAAAACAAUAGCAAUACAAGAGUUAAAUAAUUAUGAAGACAACAGUAUAAGAGACAUCACAAAGUAUUUCUUGAUUAAUUGCCAAGUGAGUAUGUGAGUUGACAACAAAUACUAUGAGUUCAAAGUUGAAAGCAAGAGACAAGGGAGAUGAUCUGGCAGCAAUGGAUGGCAUUUUCUAACCUACCCUCAAAGACAGAAGAUAGAAUGGCCAUUCUCCUUUUUCCCUGGGAGACAAGAAUCCACACCUUAGUACAGACUACCCUAACAGGAUGUGAUGGGAUUCCUCAUUCACUUAGCUCACUGCAUUUUAUACUCUUCUAAUAUACUUAUAUUCAAAUUAUAUUUAUCUGUCUACCUGUCUCCUCUCAUCUGCCUAGGCCAGGAUCUCCUUGAGAGCAGAGAACUUUCCUUAUCUAUCUUAGUAUCUUCCCUAGCAAACUGCAAAUAGUAGGCACUUAAGUGUUUUUUGAAUGAAAUUCUCAGCCCUUAAUUUGGCAUACCAAAUCUGUACUCAUUUACUAAACUACCUGGGCUUUCCCUACUGUCUCUCAGUAGUUACUGACCACCUAACACCAUCCUAUACAUGCCAGUUCUAUGAAUAUUUCUAAUACUUCCUAAGGCAAGAACCAAGGUAAGAACCAUGAGCUCUUACACUGACUUUUCCUGGUUAUCUGGUCAAUAUAAAUAUUCUGAUCACAUAGUUUAAGAAUACUGUCUCCCAGAUAUUUUAAUAAAGGAUUGGGUAAGUCUGGGUAGGUGAAAUAGAUGAUAACUGGUCCCAACUUUUUAUUUGUUCCAAGAUGGAUUCCACUGUCUAAUAAUUAAAUUUGAGUCUUAUACCCAAUUAUUUAACUGCUUAAGUUACAACCUGUAGUCCAACUUUAAAUAACUGCCUCAAAGUCAGCUAGGUGGCCUGAAGUCAGGAAGAUCUAACCAAAUCUCAGAUACUUACUAGCUAUGAGACUCUGGGCAAAUCUCUUUGCUUCAGUUUGCCUCUGUUUCCUCAACUGUAAAAUGGGGAUAACAAAAGCACUUCCCUCCCAGGGUUGCUGUGAGAAUAUUUAUAAAGGACUUACCAUAGCACCUGUCACAUAGUAAUAAGCACUAUUUAAAUGUUAGCUAUAAUGAUGAUGACUAAAACUCCAACUUCCUACUUUUAACUCCUUAGCUCUAUUACAUUAAACCAUUUUCUUUUUCAUGCACAGAACAAAAAGCUGCUGGUAGUUUGCAUUUUUUAAUAAAAAAGGUAUAAUUUUUAUGCAAUCUACUUUUUCUUUCAUUCCUACUUCCAGCAUUUCACAUGCAAUAACAUUAUAGUUAUUAGUUGUAUCAAAAUGUUUGAAUAGCGACUGUUUCGUAAUAUAAAUCACAUUUUUACUUGAGGUCCACACACAUAUGUAUAGACUUAUUUCAGUAGCACAUUCAUAAAUCCUCUCAUUUUUAAUAAUCUGGUUCUUGUAAAAAUGUCAGGCACAUCUGAGGGAUUGUAGUUUUAUCUAUGUGUAGCAAGAUCUGAAAUAUGAUAAAUUAGUUUGAAAAGCUAUACAUCAUUUCGGCUAUUUAUAUCAAUAAUAUUUUCACCUGGGGUCUUCUUUCAGGGGACCUAAAUAACUACAGAUUUUUAUUCAAAGCUGAAGUGUGCCACCUAGUGCCAGAUAGAAAACUUACAGACCAUCCAUAAGGCUUUCCAACAAGAUACACAUUAGUGCCCAAUAUGUUUAUUUGCAGUGAUAUUUUUGAUGUCACAUUACAGCAUGAAACAUUUUUGAGAACUGAAUCAUAGACUGGUACACACGCAUUUGUUCUACAUUUCCUCUCCAUCCUUCCAGGUGAAUAGGGUUCUAUGAAGUCUAUUUUGAUGGUCCACAUUCAAAUUCAAAACUUUACAUCUCUAACAUUUCCAGCCUGCCAUAAAAACUUUAAAAUUACUUUCCCGGCCUAAAUAUCAAGUACAACUCCAUAGUUUGAAUUUCUAGUUUUUUACACAUAUUAUUACAAUUACUGUGACAUCACAAUGGCAUCAAGGUGUCGUUUCAUAUAAGAGUGAAAACAGAUGAAUGUAAGCACAUCUAUAAUACUUUGUUUCAGAAACAUGGUCAUUAAAAUAUUUUCAGCUCUAUAUUGUGGAAAUUAGUACUCUAUGAAAAGCAACAUGGCACAGAAAGAGAGUAGUAGACCUAGAGUUAAAACUUCCCCCUGGCCUAUGGAUGCCUGAACAUGCUUAAAGGCUCUCAACAACUCUCCAAGAUAGUGUGAAGGGUAGGCUGUGGUCGGCCUAUCCAUACCUACAAAAUCACAAUCACAACUGACUUAAUCUGGAGACACCAAAACAAGUGUGAAUCUUAAAACUGCUCACUCUACUUCAGAAGAUUUGAUUAAGCUAUUCCCCAUUUUCUACAAUGGAGGUACUUGGUCAGGAAUGUAUUGAGAACUUUAAAAUUACUCCACCCUGCUCAGACAGUGCCUUAGGGGAAGAUAAAGUUGUAAAAUUUCUUACUGAACAAUGAAAAGUCCCCAACUCAUACUUAUAGUGAAGCAAAAACCCUAAGCUAGGUGGUCUAUUUUAGAUCUAAUACAAAAGGGUGCCAAGUACCUAUAAAGGUUAAAUUAAUCACUAAAAGGUCAAGCAACUUACAAAGGGCAAGCUUAGCAAAGAGAUGUGAAAUACUCAGAAGAUAUAAUCUAAUCAGAGAAGGUGGUAACAAAAGAAGAUGUGAACUAAGAAUGGUCAGUCCUGGGGAAAAUGUCUACUGUGAUUGGUAGAUGUGAAAAUUUAGGGGAGGUGACACAAGAGAAAUUUCUCUUUAAAAGGAGGUCAGGAGUUCAGAGGAGGCUCUCUAAACUGAGUUGGAGUUUGGAGUUAGUUUGGAGGAGCUGGCUCUCUGAACUGAGUUCAGAAGUUGAGGAUUUCAGUGAAGGACUGGAGUUUUGCUUUAGGAAGGUCUUGUGGUGAGUGAUAAAAGACUGACUAGUCUCUCUUAAGGCUCAGGCCUAGGCCAUUUGGCCUAGGCCCUUCCUACUAUUUUCUCUUUCUCUCUCUCUCUCUCCCUUCCCUUAAAUUCCUUCAUUUGUAUUAAUUAAAAUCCCCAUAAAACCCA
Molecule: non-coding RNA, 3305 nt
Organism: Monodelphis domestica (gray short-tailed opossum)
Lineage: Eukaryota; Metazoa; Chordata; Mammalia; Didelphimorphia; Didelphidae
Source: RefSeq, a predicted model, not a curated record